CGCAAUGGGGGAAACCCUGACGCAGCGACGCCGCGUGUAGGAAGAAGGCCUUCGGGUCGUAAACUACUGUCAAGAGGGAAGAACCCGCAGGGCAUUAAUACGGCUCUGCGCUGACGGUACCUCUAGAGGAAGCACCGGCUAACUCCGUGCCAGCAGCCGCGGUAAUACGGAGGGUGCGAGCGUUAAUCGGAAUCACUGGGCGUAAAGCGUGCGUAGGCGGCGUAUCAAGUCAGGCGUGAAAGCCCUCGGCUCAACCGGGGAAUUGCGCUUGAAACUGGUAUGCUGGAGUCUCGGAGAGGUUGGCGGAAUUCCAGGUGUAGGAGUGAAAUCCGUAGAUAUCUGGAGGAACACCGGUGGCGAAGGCGGCCAACUGGACGAGUACUGACGCUGAGGUACGAAAGCGUGGGUAGCAAACAGGAUUAGAUACCCUGGUAGUCCACGCUGUAAACGAUGGAUAUUAGGUGUCGGGGUUUAACUUCGGUGCCGCAGUUAACGCGU
RNAcentral lists this ribosomal RNA (498 nucleotides) under uncultured Desulfovibrio sp. RNAcentral describes it as "bacterial SSU rRNA". It matches the Rfam family "Bacterial small subunit ribosomal RNA", at positions 367 to 860 of the family's 1533-position model. The record is from RNAcentral. Lineage: Bacteria; Pseudomonadati; Thermodesulfobacteriota; Desulfovibrionia; Desulfovibrionales; Desulfovibrionaceae.